UACAGAGGGGGCAAGCGUUGUUCGGAAUUACUGGGCGUAAAGGGCGCGUAGGCGGCCCGCUAGGUCGAACGUGAAAUCCCCGAGCUCAACUCGGGAACUGCGUCCGAUACUGGUGGGCUUGAAUCCGGGAGAGGGAUGCGGAAUUCCAGGUGUAGCGGUGAAAUGCGUAGAUAUCAGGAGGAACACCGGUGGCGAAGGCGGGUCUCUGGGCCGAUACUGACGCUGAGGAGCGAAAGCGUGGGGAGCGAACAGG
This 253-nucleotide ribosomal RNA is filed under the name uncultured bacterium. Its description in RNAcentral is "partial 16S ribosomal RNA". It matches the Rfam family "Bacterial small subunit ribosomal RNA", at positions 524 to 776 of the family's 1533-position model. The record is from RNAcentral.